GUUUGCAAUCAUGGUUACACAAGCACACGUCAAGUGAAGUUGCAUCAGAGUUUUUCAAAUUUUCUUCCCAAAUUCGCAUAUGCACGAACCCUAACUUCAUCGUUUCAUAUUUCUCACUACAAUCAUGAAAGUGAAGAUCCUGCGUAUCCUUCUCAAAAUUCCAAUUCCAUUUUAUUACUAUUCAGUUCCUCUUUCAUGUUUUUUCUAACACUUUGUUUUAUCCUUUUCGCAUUUUACAUGUUUGUUCAUUUGCUUCACAGUGUUUAUGGUUUCAAAUUUUCAUGUUUUUACUCUCUCUCUAUUUUAUUGUCAAUAAUUGGGUAUUUGCAGAAAAAAAAUUUGUUUUUCUUGACUUAG
Vicia faba (fava bean) is the source of this 357-nucleotide non-coding RNA. The record is from the annotation of a GenBank genome assembly. Lineage: Eukaryota; Viridiplantae; Streptophyta; Magnoliopsida; Fabales; Fabaceae.